Etheostoma cragini (Arkansas darter) is the source of this 116-nucleotide long non-coding RNA. RefSeq lists it as uncharacterized. The transcript has 3 exons. Lineage: Eukaryota; Metazoa; Chordata; Actinopteri; Perciformes; Percidae. The record is from RefSeq and is a predicted model, not a curated record.
UUCUAUAUCUCAGUACUUAAGUUAAAGUACAAAUAACCAGAGACAUAUUUACUUUAGCAAAAGCAGAAGUACCACAAUGACAACCUUACAUAAGUAAAAAUUACCUGAUUUUAAAU